CGCCAGACUCCUACGGGAGGCAGCAGUGGGGAAUAUUGGGCAAUGGGCGCAAGCCUGACCCAGCAACGCCGCGUGAAGGAAGAAGGCUUUCGGGUUGCAAACUUCUUUUGACAGGGAGGAGUAGAAGACGGUACCUGUCGAAUAAGCCACGGCUAACUACGUGCCAGCAGCCGCGGUAAUACGGAGGAUGCGAGCGUUAUCCGGAUUUAUUGGGUUUAAAGGGUGCGUAGGCGGGUUAUCAAGUCAGCGGUAAAAUCGUGGAGCUCAACUCCAUCCAGCCGUUGAAACUGAUGAUCUUGAGUGGGCGAGAAGUAUGCGGAAUGCGUGGUGUAGCGGUGAAAUGCAUAGAUAUCACGCAGAACUCCGAUUGCGAAGGCAGCAUACCGGCGCCCGACUGACGCUGAAGCACGAAAGCGUGGGUAUCGAACAGGAUUAGAUACCCGCGUAA
Molecule: ribosomal RNA, 448 nt
Filed under: uncultured bacterium
Lineage: Bacteria
Description: bacterial SSU rRNA
Rfam family: Bacterial small subunit ribosomal RNA
Source: RNAcentral